AUCGGUUACACUCCCCUGUCACCAGUGAUCCUUUUUUGCUGACAUUCUGAAAAAAGUAUUGUGUUGUCCCUGUGGCAAGAACAUUAAAGAUAAAGGGGAAACUAUAAACAGAAGAAAUUAUCAACAAAAUAAGAUUUACAGAGGUCAACAAAGCCUAAAUGGUCAGCCAUCUUGAUUUUCAUGGUCAUCAUUCACAGAUCAAUACUGAACAGAAAACUUAAAGCUGAUAUUUUUCUCCAUAGUGCGACUUUUUUAUUAAUUUGAAAUGGAACGUGUUUUUUCCUACAUUUAUUUGAAAGAGGAAAUUUCAACAUGAUGACUAUAAACAAAGGAGUCAUAUCAUCACGAUCGUUGAUGCACAAGAACUUGAUCAUAUAAAUACAACAAUGUAAUUAUCAAUUGAAAGAUGGAACGAAUGAACAAAAUAUUAGAAUGUUGUUGUCCAAAUAAACUUGAUUUGUUUUCUCAUUUCAAUCUCUCCAUUCAAUAAAGAUGUACAGAGGAAGAUCUUUGAAGAACAGAUUGAAAAAAUGUUUUGUCUAAGAAUUGCAGGAAUAUUCUAGUGAAUGAAAUUAUUUAUUGACUUCACUCUUAUAUAGUGGACUGAAUAAUUGUA
Long non-coding RNA from Mytilus trossulus (common blue mussel), 616 nucleotides. RefSeq lists it as uncharacterized. The transcript is spliced from 3 exons. NCBI's taxonomy places the organism in Eukaryota, Metazoa, Mollusca, Bivalvia, Mytilida, Mytilidae. The record is from RefSeq and is a predicted model, not a curated record.